CAUACAUAAUUAUGUAGGGUACCCUUUAUUGUUUUUGGUAAAUCUUAAAUGUAGAUCGGCAACUUUGCAAACCUUGAAAUAAAUAAUAAAUUAUAGUCUAGGUGUUGUAGUCUAAUAGAAAAAGCCAUUCUUGUCAUUGUGAUAGUCUACGGAGUCAAUGUCAUAGCCAUAGACAUUCACUUAACUUCACUUAAGGUCAUAGCGCAAAAGAAACGAAGAUAUCAGCAACGCUGAGGCUGAGGCAUAUUUAAGAUUUGUAGUAUACUGGCAGAUAUGGAAGAGGAUAACCUCGCCCAGAAGGACGCCGAAGACCGGGCAAAAUGAGGAAAGCGGACCCUGGCAACUAGACCGGGAAAAUGUUAAGAAGAAGAAGAAGUACACUAAAGUAACCAACUAACUUAUAAAACCAGAGUAGUAUACAGAUAAAAUGUCAGCAAAUUGUUUCGCCGUUUUAGACUAAAAUAAUCAUUCCAAUUAUUUUUUGUUUAAUCAUUACAAUCAGAAUACUCUAAAAGUCUUAAUUUAAUUAUUUUAGUUGAUAAUUAACGAAUUUGCGUAAUCUAUCAAUUUUCUAUCACGACGGUAACAGACAAACAAAACAACUUUUUUAAAUUGUUAAUGUUAGUACGUUUGGAUUUCAACAAAAAAAAAACCCAUAAUAUCCUGAGAGAGGUACCAAUCUCGGCAUUAUCUCGUGUUUUUAUAACGCUAACCACGCCACUAUAUUAAUUAGUCAUUAUCUACGAGCGACACAAAAUAUCAAUUUAAUUAUGUUUAAUAAUAAUUGAACGAGAAUGUCGACAGCUAAAGUAAAAAGGUAAAAGACUGAAAUUGUAUAUUUCGCUCAAAAACAAUUAAGUAUGUAUGUGAGUGUGUUAAUAUGAUGUCUCUUACGAUGCUUUAAUGUAUAGUAAUGUAAUUAAGUUAAAGUAUAGUAAAUUAUUAAUAUGAUAAUAGUGAUAGUAAUAGUAAUAAUAAAUAAUAAAUAAAGUGUAUGCCACAGUUAAUAACAAAAAAAACACUAUUUUAACACGUUUUCGUCAGUUAAGUAUGUAUGUAUGUAUGAUGUUUUUUUGUAUGUAACGGAAUUUAUGAAUGUCAUUGGCGGUAGUUCUUUUGACGUUCAACAAGUAUGUACUUUCAUUUAUGUUGAAUAAAAAAUUUUUGAUUUUGA
This is a long non-coding RNA of Bombyx mori (domestic silkworm), 1174 nucleotides long. RefSeq lists it as uncharacterized. The record is from RefSeq and is a predicted model, not a curated record. The transcript is spliced from 2 exons. Lineage: Eukaryota; Metazoa; Arthropoda; Insecta; Lepidoptera; Bombycidae.